This 489-nucleotide ribosomal RNA is filed under the name uncultured bacterium. RNAcentral's name for it is "partial 16S ribosomal RNA". It matches the Rfam family "Bacterial small subunit ribosomal RNA", at positions 28 to 507 of the family's 1533-position model. The record is from RNAcentral.
GAUGAACGCUAGCGGCAGGCUUAAUACAUGCAAGUCGAGGGGCAGCAGGACUGUAGCAAUACAGUUGCUGGCGACCGGCAAACGGGUGCGGAACACGUACGCAACUUACCCAAAACUGGGGGAUAGCCCGGGGAAACCCGGAUUAAUACCUCGUAACCUUUUUAAGUGGCAUCACUUGAUAAGUAUAGCUCCGGCGGUUUUGGAUGGGCGUGCGCCUGAUUAGGUAGUUGGUGCGGGUAACGGCCCACCAAGCCUGCGAUCAGUAACUGGUGUGAGAGCACGACCAGUCACACGGGCACUGAGACACGGGCCCGACUCCUACGGGAGGCAGCAGUAAGGAAUAUUGGUCAAUGGACGCAAGUCUGAACCAGCCAUGCCGCGUGAAGGAUGAAGGUCCUCUGGAUUGUAAACCUCUUUUAUGGGGGACGAAACCCGGAUAUUCUUAUCCGAUUGACGGUACCUCAGGAAUAAGCACCGGCUAACUCCGUG